RNAcentral lists this ribosomal RNA (375 nucleotides) under uncultured bacterium. RNAcentral describes it as "bacterial SSU rRNA". It matches the Rfam family "Bacterial small subunit ribosomal RNA", at positions 28 to 404 of the family's 1533-position model. The record is from RNAcentral.
GACGAACGCUGGCGGCGUGCUUAACACAUGCAAGUCGAGCGGUAAGGCCCUUUCGGGGGUACACGAGCGGCGAACGGGUGAGUAACACGUGGGUGACCUGCCUUUAGCUCUGGGAUAAGCCCGGGAAACUGGGUCUAAUACCGGAUAUGACCCUAUGGCGCAUGUUGUGGGGUGGAAAGCCUUGUGCGGCUAGGGAUGGGCCCGCGGCCUAUCAGCUUGUUGGUGGGGUGAUGGCCUACCAAGGCGACGACGGGUAGCCGGCCUGAGAGGGCGACCGGCCACACUGGGACUGAGACGCGGCCCAGACUCCUACGGGAGGCAGCAGUGGGGAAUCUUGCGCAAUGGGCGAAAGCCUGACGCAGCGACGCCGCGUGA